Molecule: ribosomal RNA, 231 nt
Filed under: Francisella tularensis subsp. holarctica
Lineage: Bacteria; Pseudomonadati; Pseudomonadota; Gammaproteobacteria; Thiotrichales; Francisellaceae
Description: partial 23S ribosomal RNA
Rfam family: Bacterial large subunit ribosomal RNA
Source: RNAcentral
CAUGGCCAGGUUGAAGAUUAGGUAGUACUAAUUGGAGGACCGAACCCAAUACUGUUGCAUAAGUAUGGGAUGAGCUGUGGAUCGGAGUGAAAGGCUAAUCAAGCACGGAGAUAGCUGGUUCUCCCCGAAACCUAUUUAGGUAGUGCCUCGUGUAUAACUCAUUGGGGUAAAGCACUGUUUCGACAAUCGGGGUUUUUCGACCUUACUGACUCGAUGCAAACUCAGAAUACG